GCGGCCAAACUGUGUGUUGGCUAUGGCCCUCGGCUUAUAACCGAGUGGGUUCGGGUUCGAAUCCCGAGUAAGUCA
This is a non-coding RNA of Trichonephila inaurata madagascariensis, 75 nucleotides long. NCBI's taxonomy places the organism in Eukaryota, Metazoa, Arthropoda, Arachnida, Araneae, Nephilidae. The record is from the annotation of a GenBank genome assembly.